GCGAGAGCAGGUCUCUGGGCGGCUCGCGGCCCAUGACCGGCCUCUCCAGGCCGCCCUCCGGACUCCAGAGCAUGUCGGCCGGCGCCUCGCGGCCCAUGACGGGCGUGUCUCGGCCAGUGUCCGGCGCGCUGGGCCAGGACAGCCGGUCCUUCAGCGAGAACGCACAGUGGGACGGCCGCCCGGGCACCUCUGGCCGCCCGUUCUCAGGCGCCGUGGGCGGCCCGCCCGGCACCGG
This is a long non-coding RNA of Pollicipes pollicipes, 235 nucleotides long. RefSeq lists it as uncharacterized. The record is from RefSeq and is a predicted model, not a curated record. The transcript has 3 exons. NCBI's taxonomy places the organism in Eukaryota, Metazoa, Arthropoda, Thecostraca, Pollicipedomorpha, Pollicipedidae.